RNAcentral lists this ribosomal RNA (539 nucleotides) under uncultured bacterium. RNAcentral's name for it is "bacterial SSU rRNA". It matches the Rfam family "Bacterial small subunit ribosomal RNA", at positions 777 to 1314 of the family's 1533-position model. The record is from RNAcentral.
AAUAGAUACCCCGGUAGUCCACGCCGUAAACGAUGAGUGCUAAGUGUUAGGGGGUUUCCACCCCUUAGUGCUGCAGCUAACGCAUUAAGCACUCCGCCUGGGGAGUACGGUCGCAAGACUGAAACUCAAAGGAAUUGACGGGGGCCCGCACAAGCGGUGGAGCAUGUGGUUUAAUUCGAAGCAACGCGAAGAACCUUACCAGGUCUUGACAUCCCGCUGACCGCUAUGGAGACAUAGCCUUCCCUUCGGGGACAGCGGUGACAGGUGGUGCAUGGUUGUCGUCAGCUCGUGUCGUGAGAUGUUGGGUUAAGUCCCGCAACGAGCGCAACCCUUGUCCUUAGUUGCCAUCAUUCAGUUGGGCACUCUAAGGAGACUGCCGUACAAAUACGGAGGAAGGUGGGGAUGACGUCAAAUCAUCAUGCCCCUUAUGACCUGGGCUACACACGUGCUACAAUGGACGGUACAAACGGUCGCGAAGUCGCGAGACGGAGCCAAUCCGAAAAAACCGUUCUCAGUUCGGAUUGCAGGCUGCAACUCCG